UGGGGAAUUUUGGACAAUGGGCGAAAGCCUGAUCCAGCAAUGCCGCGUGUGUGAAGAAGGCCUUCGGGUUGUAAAGCACUUUUGUCCGGAAAGAAAUCCUUGGCUCUAAUACAGUCGGGGGAUGACGGUACCGGAAGAAUAAGCACCGGCUAACUACGUGCCAGCAGCCGCGGUAAUACGUAGGGUGCAAGCGUUAAUCGGAAUUACUGGGCGUAAAGCGUGCGCAGGCGGUUUGCUAAGACCGAUGUGAAAUCCCCGGGCUCAACCUGGGAACUGCAUUGGUGACUGGCAGGCUAGAGUAUGGCAGAGGGGGGUAGAAUUCCACGUGUAGCAGUGAAAUGCGUAGAGAUGUGGAGGAAUACCGAUGGCGAAGGCAGCCCCCUGGGCCAAUACUGACGCUCAUGCACGAAAGCGUGAGGAGCAAACAGGAUUAGAUACCCUGGUAGUCCACGCCCUAAACGAUGUCAACUAGUUGUUGGGGAUUCAUUUUCCUUAGUAACGUAGCUAACGCGUGAAGUUGACCGCCUGGGGAGUACGGUCGCAAGAUUAAAACUCAAAUGAAUUGACGGGGUCAUAGCUGUUUCCU
RNAcentral lists this ribosomal RNA (586 nucleotides) under uncultured bacterium. Its description in RNAcentral is "partial 16S ribosomal RNA". It matches the Rfam family "Bacterial small subunit ribosomal RNA", at positions 355 to 1375 of the family's 1533-position model. The record is from RNAcentral.